GAGAGCUUCAGACCUGACAAAUACUGUCUUUUCAAAUGGUCUCUACAGCUAGAAGGAGCUUAUAGCAUGAACACUCAACCUGGCUUUGUUUUGAGUCCUGAAGUCCACAACGUCGACUUCUCCAGAUUCUACAGAUACAGUAUACCAGUCAGCACUGGUGUGUUGUCUGUAGUGUUUCUGUAGUGCCAUGCCACCUGCAUCAGUCACUGAAAGGACUGCUGGGCAGUUUCCCACACAGUUUGUGGGGAAUUCUGAUGGCCUGGUACCUCAGCACAUGAAACACAUGCCAUCCACUGAGAGUCCACCAACUGUCAACUGUAAGACAGCUGCUUCUCAGGCUUGCUGGGAAAUAAAUGUGGUCUUGGUACUAAUGGUUCUUGCUGGGUUUCUUAUUUUGGCUCUGUUUUACUGCGUCUUUCACCUGUGGCACAAACUGCAUCUGGUUCAGGCUGGAAAUUCUUUAGAGUAUUUUGGCUUCUACCACAUGGCUAACUACAGCCUGAAACAAAUAUAUGAACCUCCAGGUUUAGCUUCAGUGGACACUGAUAGAACCCCUGAGGAAGUGCCUUCUUGUUCACCACCUCCAACUGUUGUUCCAAAUCAUCCACUCAUCCCUUCACUCCUUCAUUCACCACCUCCACUUUUAUCUCAAUCACCCUCUGCUGUGCCACUGCCGCACCCCUUCAUCUACACUACCCCACCCAGCCCUCAGUCUGAUGCAGAGGUAUAUUCCCGUAUAGGCAAUCUGCAGCCCUCCAGGCUCUCGAGCGUGAGUCAGACACAGGUGGUUCUUUUUGAACACUCGUCCCUCUGACCCUUGAGAGAAGAACUUUGUCCUCUGCCUCUUCCAUCAGAGAAUUUGCUAAGAGACUGCCUUUCACAGUCUAGUGAUUCAUGUCAUGUUUGUUUCUUUUUUGUAUGUUUCUUUUUGGGAAGCUUGCAUCAUCAGAACUGGACUACAUCUCAUCCAUCUUCGCAUGGACAUAAUAUUCUGUUGAGGCUGUUUGGUCAAUUCAUAGUAUAACCAUUUCACACUAAAAUGAUUUGCUGCUUUAUAUUUGCACUAAAGCCAUGCGUAUUGUAAUUGACAGGGGAAGCUUAUAGCUUACACUUUAGCACAAAUUAUAUGCAUUAAUAUCAUCCUAUACUCAGCUUAAAUAUUGUUUAGACAUAAUUUGUACAUUAAAAUAUAUUAAUACAGACAGUAUGUAAGGAAUAUGAGGUGUAAAAAUAUGUUUAAGGAAAGUAUAGUAUGAUAUGGACCAAUUGCAAAGUUUAAUUAUUGCCCUUUAACAGGACUUCACAGAGUGUUUUAUUCAUCCUAUACCACAGCAAUUUGCCAACAAUUUUAUUUGUCUAUUUAUUAACUUUAUGUGGUUCAAAACAAAGCGACAAUUCUGUACUGACAUUUCUCACUUGCCACAAUAUUUACUUACAAUUACAAAAGGCAACCAACACUGGAAACUCCUUCCAUAAAUGUUACAAAUUUCCUCUUACAAAAAUGUUGGUUAUGUACAGCAUACAAUCCCUUAUGCAUGAACUUUUACUAUAGAAACAUGUACAUUUUAUGGUGCAUUAGUUAAUAAGUGCAUUAAUAUAAACCUAUAUUAAUAGAUCAGCACUAAGGUCAGAACUGCUUUCUUCCUAUGGGGAAAUUGUGCAUGUUAUUGUAACUACUGCUACAUUAUUCUUUAAAAAUAUUUAGUAUAUUUCAGAUUUUAGUCAGAAAUGUUCUGUACAUAAUGCUCUUUGCUCUGUCUCUAUUAGUUGUUCAUCUAAGAUAAAACUAGUGGCAAAAUUCUUUUGACCUCAUUAUUCCUGACUGUGUUUUUGAUCUACAGUAGCAUGUGCCUCUUAUUUCCUUUGUAACGCUGGCUUUCCUUCAUAGGGUGGGAUUUCCUGGAGAGCUUUUCCACUGCAUACUUUUUCACUUCCUCUGUUCUGGCUAUAAGGAGAAGAAUAGCAACAAUUCCAGACCUACAUUUUAUUUUAUGCCACACUUUCUAAAUGAGUCUUUUGAGUUUUGUCCAUGUUUGCAGUUAAUAGUUGUCAAAAUGACAUAUAGGUAUAGCAUAACUAAAAAUAAAACAAACCAAGCUUAGAAACUUAAAACCAAUUGCCACAUCCAACAGCAAUUUGCAAGUGAUUUCUUAUUUAUUGAAAAUGACCUGAAUGAACUUUUAAUCAGUUUAAAGUUAUAUUUUAUUCUGUAGAACAUCACUAAAACCAAUACCUAGUUGUUAAAGACUUGCUUCUAUUUGCUAUUGGAAUGGUGAGUAAAGGCAGUAGUCCCAGAAAAACAUUAAUUAUGUUAAAAACAGCAGAAGGAAUAAUUUCAAGGUUCAACAUUAUCAAUAAUUUAACAUUAUGAAUAAUGCAACAGAGCUUUAAUAGCCCACACUGGGACUUUUUUUUAAAUGAUAAUGUUCUGUUGUUUGCAAUAACAUGCCAAGUGCAAAAGUUUACAUCCAUGAUAAAAAAAAAAAAAAAAAGUUAAUUCUGUCUACAAAAAAUUAGGUUUUAAGCAGUUACAACAUGUUGGACAUGUUAUAAACUCUCACUGUAUGAAUCUUUUAAAUGGUAUUAAAUAUUGUAUUUGAGUUAUA
Long non-coding RNA from Silurus meridionalis, 2606 nucleotides. RefSeq lists it as uncharacterized. Lineage: Eukaryota; Metazoa; Chordata; Actinopteri; Siluriformes; Siluridae. The transcript is spliced from 2 exons. The record is from RefSeq and is a predicted model, not a curated record.